GCGCCCGUAGCUCAAUGGAUAGAGCGCUGGCCUCCGAAGCCAGACAUUCCGGUUCAAGUCCGAACGGGCGCA
This 72-nucleotide transfer RNA is filed under the name Endomicrobium sp. Its description in RNAcentral is "tRNA-Arg". It matches the Rfam family "tRNA". Rfam says of the family: Transfer RNA (tRNA) molecules are approximately 80 nucleotides in length. Their secondary structure includes four short double-helical elements and three loops (D, anti-codon, and T loops). The record is from RNAcentral. Lineage: Bacteria; Pseudomonadati; Elusimicrobiota; Endomicrobiia; Endomicrobiales; Endomicrobiaceae. RNAcentral also lists the same sequence under 1 other name.